GGAAGCUGGCCUAUAGCACAGAAUCAGAAUGGAGAUCCAGAAGGCUCUCUGAAGUGCUGCUUUACUGGCCACGAAGAAGUUGGAUCCAUAGUGCCCUGUGUGGUGGGGGUUUGCAGUGAAUCACAGGCCCUGCUCCCAGAGUAGUUCACCUCCUAAACCACCCACUGCUUGAUUCAAUUAAUCCAAGAAAGCUCAGUAACGAGAUGGAUUUGGGAAGUGGCUUUGUGUGUUGUUAAGGCUAAACUCCAGUGCACCCACAGGGGAUGAGAAUUGCAGAACUGGGGCCCUCUGCCUCAGCAAGAAGGAGAUUUCAUCUCCCUCACCUACUGUACCUGGAGGAGAGUUGGGUAACAGUCUCCAUUGGCCAAACCCUGAAAUGACAUCACCUUUGGAGGAAUGCAACAAGAAUGUUUCAGAUGAUAAGAGUAAACAUGUUACCAGAAAAAAACUUGUGUUUCAAAUUCCAGGUGAAGUCCAGGGAAGCAGAAGUCACAUACAUCUUCAAGGAGAAACUUGGUGGUGCAGGACAGUGAGCCUUGACUUCAUUCCAAAGAACUGUCUUUGGAGACAUUUAGAAGGAGGAUACCCAAGAAGAUGGAGCAGUCUUUGUGUUAAGAGUGGACUAGGCAGCUGAAGAGUUGCCACAGGCUUUCAGGGGAUCACCAAAUCUGUGCAAAUCCUUCAGAUGAACAAGCCCACCCUCUGAAAUGCUUAAUCCAGGUGAUGGAGAAAGAAGAAAGAAAGGUUAUCCAGAGGUUUUGGGAAGAUAUUGUCUGAUGUGUCUGCAGAGUGGGACCCUGUUUGAGAGCUUUGGUCUGUGUAAAACAUGCCUGCCCACCACAGAGCCCCUGUGGGGAUAUAUCCAGGCAACACCUGCCUGCCAGGGAAGGCUUGAUACAUCAAGAAAACUUCAGAGAAGUUAUUAUUGCCUCACACCAAUGAACUUGCAGGAAUUAAAUAUCUUAGGUUCUAAAAAUCUGAGUGGGAAUUAUGAACCAGUUCCAACACUACUUGGGGCCAAUUCAUAUGCACAAACAUAA
Long non-coding RNA from Serinus canaria (Common canary), 1040 nucleotides. The record is from Ensembl. NCBI's taxonomy places the organism in Eukaryota, Metazoa, Chordata, Aves, Passeriformes, Fringillidae.